Molecule: ribosomal RNA, 700 nt
Filed under: uncultured bacterium
Lineage: Bacteria
Description: bacterial SSU rRNA
Rfam family: Bacterial small subunit ribosomal RNA
Source: RNAcentral
CAUGCAGUCGACGGUAACGCGGGGCAACCUGGCGACGAGUGGCGAACGGGUGAGUAAUGCAUCGGAACGUGCCCAGAAGUGGGGGAUAGCCCGGCGAAAGCCGGAUUAAUACCGCAUGAGACCUGAGGGUGAAGGCGGGGGAUCGCAAGACCUCGCGCUUUUGGAGCGGCCGAUGUCAGAUUAGGUAGUUGGUGGGGUAAAGGCCUACCAAGCCGACGAUCUGUAGCUGGUCUGAGAGGACGACCAGCCACACUGGGACUGAGACACGGCCCAGACUCCUACGGGAGGCAGCAGUGGGGAAUUUUGGACAAUGGGCGCAAGCCUGAUCCAGCCAUGCCGCGUGCGGGAAGAAGGCCUUCGGGUUGUAAACCGCUUUUGUCGGGGAAGAAAAGCCUUGGGUUAAUACCCUGGGGUGAUGACGGUACCCGAAGAAUAAGCACCGGCUAACUACGUGCCAGCAGCCGCGGUAAUACGUAGGGUGCAAGCGUUAAUCGGAAUUACUGGGCGUAAAGCGUGCGCAGGCGGUUGUGUAAGACAGAUGUGAAAUCCCCGGGCUCAACCUGGGAACUGCAUUUGUGACUGCACAGCUGGAGUGCGGCAGAGGGGGAUGGAAUUCCGCGUGUAGCAGUGAAAUGCGUAGAUAUGCGGAGGAACACCGAUGGCGAAGGCAAUCCCCUGGGCCUGCACUGACGCUCAUGCA